Molecule: ribosomal RNA, 468 nt
Filed under: uncultured bacterium
Lineage: Bacteria
Description: partial 16S ribosomal RNA
Rfam family: Bacterial small subunit ribosomal RNA
Source: RNAcentral
GACGAACGCUGGCGGCGUGCUUAACACAUGCAAGUCGAACGGAAAGGCCCUGCUUUUGUGGGGUGCUCGAGUGGCGAAAGGGUGAGUAACACGUGAGUAACCUGCCCUUGACUUUGGGAUACCUUCAGGGAACUGGGGCUAAUACCGGAUAUGAGCACCUGCUGCAUGGUGGGUGUUGUAAAGUGUCGGCGGUUGGGGAUGGACUCGCGGCUUAUCAGCUUGUUGGUGGGGUAGUGGCUUACCAAGGCUUUGACGGGUAGCCGGCCUGAGAGGGUGACCGGCCACCUUGGGACUGCGAUACGGCCCAGACUCCUACGGGAGGCAGCAGUGGGGAAUAUUGCACAACGGGCGGAAGCCUGAUGCAGCAACGCCGCGUGCGGGAUGACGGCUUUCGGGUUGUAAACCGCUUUCGCCGGUGACGAAGCGUGAGGGACGGUAAUGGGUAAAGAAGCACAGGCUAACUACGUG